RNAcentral lists this long non-coding RNA (2582 nucleotides) under Homo sapiens (human). RNAcentral describes it as "HSALNT0379330". The record is from RNAcentral. Lineage: Eukaryota; Metazoa; Chordata; Mammalia; Primates; Hominidae.
GGGGAUGGGGGGCUGUAGAGAGUAAUGGGAGUGGCUGCUUAAUGGCUAUGGGGUUUCCUUUCCAGUUUCAUGAGAGGUGAGGACCAAUCCAUAGUCAGCCUUUUGCCCAACCCUGUAAGGGGCUUUUCUGCUUCAUCCGGAGAGGAAACCAGGAAGCUGCAGGAGAAGCCCCAGGCUGGAGAGCCAGGGAACGGUGCAGACCACUCUCCCCACCCCCACCGCCUUCGGGGCAUCGUGGAGGGCGUCCUACCGUGGACUCGCGCCUAUGAACAGGAGGUUUGAUGAAACAUUUGAUUUGAUGAAAAUGUUCUGGAACUAAAUAGUGGCAGUGAUUGUGUGGCAUCAUGAAUGUACCUCAUGCCACCGAAUUGUGCGUUUUAAAACAGUUAAAACGGUAAAAAUAUGUCAUUGGUACUUUAUCGCCAAAAAAGGGCAGAGAUCAAAUGGACACCAUAAUAAUUUCCAUUAUUAAGCAGCCAAUUCUAUAUCUUGAUUAUAAAUCCAUGGACAAGAUCCCUGGAAUACAACAGGAGAGGUCAGACCAUCCUCAACACAGAUUACACCACCGCAGGCCAAUUCACACAGAAUGAGCACAGGCCUUCCUUCAGAUGACCAGUGGCGGUGCUAUCGUUAGCUUUGCUGCUUAACAAACCUCUUCAACAUCCAGCAGCUUAAAAUGAUGUCCACUUUAAGAAGCCCACAAUUGUGUGGGUCAGCUGGACUGUUCUGGUCUGGGCCAGCUUGGCUGAUCUCCACUGGGUGCUCUCAAAUGUCUGUGGUCAGUUGGUGGGCUGAUGGCUGCUGAAUGAUAGAUUAGACCCUCCCUCUUAUGCUGGCAUUUGGCUGGGGAGCCUCAGCUGGGAGGUCUGGUAUCUGCUCCACAUGUUCUGUCAUCCCUCAGUGAAGCUAGCCUGCAUCCACAGAGCAGCUGGGAGGGCUGGUCUCUGCUCCACGUGGUCUCUCAUCCCCCGGUGAAGCUAGCCUGCAUCCACAGAGCAGCUGGGAGGGCUGGUCUCUGCUCCACGUGGUCUCUCAUCCCCCGGUGAAGCUAGCCUGCAUCCACCGAGCAGCUGGGAGGGCUGGUCUCUGCUCCACGUGGUCUCUCAUCCCCCGGUGAAGCUAGCCUGCAUCCACAGAGCAGCUGGAUGGAGAACCUGAAAGGCACCUGGAGACCUGGGCUCAAAAUACCCCAGCCUCAUUCUGUUGAUCAGAACAAGUCACAGACCCAUCAGAGUCAAGGGUGGAGGAAAUAGACUCCACUUCCUGAAGGGAGGGGCUGCAGAGAAGUUGUGGCCGUGCUCCAGUGCAUGCUAAGCCCCAGGUGCCCGGUUCUCUGAAGCCUGAUUAACCCCCACUUUAUCCCUAUGUCCUACCACCCUUCUCACCUCUGGGGUGAGCUCGAAAGGGGGUGAGACGCAGGGAGGUCAGGGUGUCCAUGUCACAUGACACUUAGUAGAGCAAUAUAGCUGAAUAUAUCAUGGCUUGCCAAAAUAUCCCCAUGUCUAAACAGCUGCAUUAAAGGAACCACAUCAAAAUAUCUUCCCUGGUUUUUGGUGUGGUUCCAGAUUUCUUUUUGUUUCAGAACUAAAUAGGCCUCCCACACUUUCUUCUAUCUGGGUCUGGUAACUCCUCCUCUUGGUAGCUAACGGCAAGGCCUCUGGACAUUCAACUGGGUUGGGAGUGGCAGGGGGCUCCAUGCAGGUAGGAGAAAUCAAGUAGGCAAAGAAAGAUACAGGAGCAGCAAGAGCCUCUAUCCAGAGUGGUCAGAAGGUGCAGACUUCUUGCCCAGAAAGGACAUGAAAACCUGUCCAAGAACCAGGCCCGGUUCCUUGCCUGCUCUCCCCAGCACUUGGAGGGCUCCACGGUUGGCCGCAGCUGUAUCACUCACAGCAGAUUUUACAAGCCUGUCCUUCUGCCAGGGCCCUUUCAGAAGUGAAAAUAGCUGGAAUCAGCCUGCUUUCCCUAAACCAUGAAAACAUCUCACUGUACCUCAAGCUGCGACUUAGUGCUGUGUCAGCCCACACCCCAGCACACUUCCUGGAGGAACCCGUCCGAGCAACCUCAGGAGGGUGCACUGAGGACCCGUUCUGCACACGUUUAAACGCAGGGUCGGAUUUUAAACAGGAUAUCCAGCCGGAGACGAAGGUAACUGUUGUCUUGGUCACUGCUAAGAAGCACCUGAUCGUGCAAGACAUACCGCUCAUGAGAAAGAAAUGUUUUCAACUCUUUGUGGCACCCUGCUGGGACAGGCUCUGCCUGGUCAUUCCAUCCCAGGGGUGAUUAACCAUCCCAGUGUUAGGGCCUGGGACUUUGCUAAUGUGCUUUCAGGUCAACCACAAACAUAUUUCUAAGAUUUCUUAGCUAAUGGUGCAUUUGCGAGGUCAUUCCAGGCUAAGACCAGGAGGAUUAAAAGAUCUGAUUCCUUCCUGAGGCUCUUAGUUGUAAAGGACCAAAGAAGCCGUAAAACAAAGAUUUAUUCAGUUUCAGCCGGCCAGUUCAAUGGCGCAGCCCCGUAAGACCAGGAAAAAAGAAACAUCUGGCCAGAAAAGUACACUUGUUUACAAAAAAAAAAAAAAAAAAAA